GAGACAUCAAUACCAUUUAUGGGGUGAAACUUUAGAUAGCUCGUCGAAAAAAUACUCAGUUAGGCUAUUGCCUGAGACCCCAGAUGAACAUUUCCAGUAUAAUGUUACAUCCAAGGAUGGAAUCUUAUAAAUAUUUAGCAAAUAGACAGAUGAUAAUUUAGUAUAUCUAAGUCCAUGGUUGACUGCUCUUUUUAGCAUACUAAAACAUCCUGGAAUGGCCUAUCAGGCUAGUAGAUUCACAACUUGAGCCAAUACGGUUGCUGGAUGGUUAUUUGGAAAGAUAAUGCAUCCAAAUAAUAUCAAUGUUCUUGACGAAUCUCAGAAGACGGAAAACUAAGCCUGAGCCAAAGAUGUUUUUUGUGGUUCCGGUAUUUUAUAGGAGUAUUCCAUUUAGGAUCUAGUAUUCUGUUGCACAGAAAAAUAACAGAAGCUCAAUCAGACUUCUGUGAAAAAUCUGAGGGACUUAAAUAUGCUUGUUUGAUUGUUUGAAUAUUU
Molecule: long non-coding RNA, 495 nt
Filed under: Hordeum vulgare
Lineage: Eukaryota; Viridiplantae; Streptophyta; Magnoliopsida; Poales; Poaceae
Description: long non-coding RNA (HVUL_LNC003723)
Source: RNAcentral